UGUGUAUUUUAUUUUCCUUGUGUUCUGCCGUCCCUUUCAUCUCCUCCCUCUUGUGUUUAUUUGAGAGAGUUUUUAUUUAUGAAUCAGUCACCUCCUUUUUAAUCACCUCCCCUCUGUAUCACGCGAACCUGCUUCUAGCCACAUAAGCUCCUGACAGACUGAUCCCUGCUGUUUGCACCCGCGAAAGACCCAGGCACAGGGGAGGUGGGGCGGGGGGAGAGGUUAAAAGCAGCAGCGCGUAGAGCCAUUGCUGCGCGGAGCGCGCCGCCGGGGCAGCAGCCAGGCGGAUGAAUGGGACGGGGCUGGCCACAGCAAGGCGCUGCUGCCCCCUUUCCCUGGGAGGAGCGUCAAGCCGCGGGCGUGGAGAGCGCAGAAUGGGGGAGGGCAGGAUUUGAACGAAGGGCGGUGACACCGCACAAAAGAUUUCUAUAGGCUUAAGUGAGGUUACAGCAAAGGCAACGGGGACGGGGGGAGGAGUGGGCGAAGCAGCCUCCCUUAGAGCCAUGCAGCGUCUGGCUGGCAGAUCCGCAGCAGCCGCCUCUUCCCAGUAGUUUGUUGUAGGGCCCGGGCAGAGGAAUCGGAGGAGAGAAGGCGGCCGAAGGGCUGUUCCCCCCUCCCUGGAAGUUGGUGAUUCAGCCAGAAAAAUGGCAGGAGGAGAGCGAGGCCGAGCGGGUCGCAGCAUCUGCCGCGGCUGCAGCCCGGAGCCACCACCCUUGUUGGCGGGGAGAGUCUAAGUUCGUGCCGCGGCAGCAAGAGGCCACUGAGGAGCCGGGCGAAGUCGGAUCGGAUGCGCCCACGUCCGGAGGGCCCGCAGCGAGGAGGGGAUGGAGCCAGGCGGCCGGGAGCGAGCUCGGGGCGGCUGGAUGCAUGAGCAAGGAAGGAAGGCGUGAGGCAGCCACAGAGGGAAGGGGAGAGGAUCCCUCCCUCCCCGCCAGCUGCCGGAUCCGGUGGCGCUUUUGCUCCCCCCCUCCCACCCGUUGCACCGAGCUGGGGUGUGUGCAAACAGUUCGCGAUCCCAGCAGCGCAAACACUAAGUCUGUGCCCAGCUUCUCCAGGGCUUGUGCAGCGCGACCGGGCCACACCCUCGGCUGUGCUUCCUGAUACCAGGAGAUGCGGGUCUGCCGCCGCCUGCGACUGACUUCUCGGGGACAUGUAAAGGGAGAGCACAUGGUUCGCAGUCGCCUCCUUUCGGACCAGUGGGAUUUUUUUUUUGAAGGAGUUAAACGGUAAUAAGUUGGAUGUUUCUUUUUUAAUUCAUGUCAACUGGUUUGCAUCCGUAAUUUAUUCCCCUUGAAGAGGGAACUUUGCAAAAUCCAGCUGCCGGAAAGCAAACCAACCACCACGGCACAGAUCACCGUGCAAAAUAAAUAAAAAGCAUAGAUCA
RNAcentral lists this long non-coding RNA (1384 nucleotides) under Gopherus agassizii (Agassiz's desert tortoise). RNAcentral describes it as "lncRNA (ENSGAGG00000012715.1)". The record is from RNAcentral. Lineage: Eukaryota; Metazoa; Chordata; Testudines; Testudinidae.